UUUUUCUUUCUUUUUUUUUUUUUUUUUUGACAGGAUGGGCUGGGGUUGGGGGAGGAGGAAGCAAGACUUAAGCAGAGAAGGCAAGCUCCUUUCUGUUCAUCUAACUCAAACUGACGAGUCAUUAAGCUGACUCCAAUCAGCAGGAUCCCCUGGUCGCCUGACUCAGGCCUCCCCAAUCAGAGGUAGAGUCUGCGGUGGACAGACAGACAGGUCUGGAGAGGCUGACCCAAGUGACCACCUGGUAAUUACUUCAACAGCAGAGCGACUCAUACAGCCAGCAAUCCACUUUGUUGUGAUCUGUAGAUCCUGCCUGUGGUGUUGGAUCUAACAGCUUCUUCCCUGACCCAAGAUUAUGAAGGAUUUCUCCUGUGUUCUCUUCUAAAAAUUUUACAUUUAGGUAUAUAAUCCAUUUUGAGCUAAUUCUUUUAAAUAGUGCAAAGUAUGGAUUGAAGUUCUUUUUUUUUUUUUUGCAGAUACAUAUUUAAUUUUUCCAGCACCAUUUGUUGAAAAGACUAAUGUUCUUGCCUGAAUAGCCUUUGCAUUGUUGUUGAAAAUCAUGUUCACACAUGUACACAUUCCACUGAACUAUUUGCCUCUUUGUGAAAAUACUACUAUUUUGAUUAAUAUAGAUUUAUAGGGAGUCUUAAAAUCAUAUCUUAAAAAGAUAGUGGAAGUUAUUUAACCUUACUCUUGUUUUUAGAAAUUGUUUUGGAUAAUCUAGAUCUUUUGCGUUUCCAUAUAAAUUUUAUAAUCAGUUUGGCAAUUUAUUUAAAAUAUUCUUCUGGGAUUUUGAUGGACAUUAUGCUGAAUCGAUGGAUCGCUUUGGGGAGAACUGACAUCUUAACAAUAUUGAGUCAUCUAACAUAUGAUCAUGGAAAUUGCUCCAGUUAUUUAGAUCUUUCACAUCUUGAAGCAGUGUUUUACAGUUUUCAGUGUAUAGAUAGUUAAUAGAUUUAAAAAUAUGAUCCCUAAAUAUUCAAUGUUUUUGAUGCUAUUGGAAUUUUAAAAAAUUAAUUUCUGUUCUGAGGAAGGAAAAUAAUAAAAGAUUAAACAAGAAAAAUAAAAGAAUCAAAAUAAAAGAUAAAUCAUUGACAAAUAUAAAAAAAUAACAAAAAUAAAAUACAAAA
This 1127-nucleotide long non-coding RNA is filed under the name Pongo abelii (Sumatran orangutan). Its description in RNAcentral is "lincRNA". Lineage: Eukaryota; Metazoa; Chordata; Mammalia; Primates; Hominidae. The record is from RNAcentral.